GCCGGCGUAGCUCAACUGGCAGAGCGGCUGAUUUGUAAUCAGCAGGUUGCCGGUU
This 55-nucleotide transfer RNA is filed under the name Synergistota bacterium. RNAcentral's name for it is "Synergistetes bacterium (hot springs metagenome) tRNA-Thr". It matches the Rfam family "tRNA", at positions 1 to 53 of the family's 71-position model. Rfam says of the family: Transfer RNA (tRNA) molecules are approximately 80 nucleotides in length. Their secondary structure includes four short double-helical elements and three loops (D, anti-codon, and T loops). The record is from RNAcentral. Lineage: Bacteria; Thermotogati; Synergistota.